Molecule: long non-coding RNA, 875 nt
Organism: Ceratitis capitata (Mediterranean fruit fly)
Lineage: Eukaryota; Metazoa; Arthropoda; Insecta; Diptera; Tephritidae
Exons: 5
Source: RefSeq, a predicted model, not a curated record
GUCUUCUCAUAAAAAACCAUCAACCGUUCGGAGGCGGGGGCGGGUUGCGGAAUUAGAAGUCACUCGGUGGCCACUUACUAGGGAGAUUUGGACUUCGAAUAUGGAAGCCUUAAGCAUAAAAGGGGAUACAAUUAAAAAAAAAAAUUAAAAAAAUGCAGGAGACACAGGACACUGAAUAUACAUGGGUUAGCCGCUUAAGCGUGUGAGGAUUGGCAAAACCAACUCAAAACCGAAUAUGGAGAUAAUGUCCGAAUGUGAAUAAAAAAUUGAUUUAACUUAACUUUUAACCAUUGAUAACUAUUGAUACAUCAGCUGUUGCCUGCGUCAAGCACUUACCCUAUAAUCCAACGGACACGAGGGGCGAUGUCCGCAUGACAAAUUUAGUGAAUUACAUAAAAGGCGAGUACUUCAAAUGAAAUGUGCUCUUAGAACAAUUGACAUCUCAACAUAGGCGGCGAAAUGGUUUAAUUUGGAGCGCACAAAUGUUUUAAUGUGAAUCAGUCCGCUUAGAAGGCUGUAACCAAUACAAGAAUCAAUGUUGCAAUUGUUUUUUAUCAAAUUCCUUUUUUAUUAUAAAGUGAAAUAUUAUAUGCUAAAAACUACAUCACUAAAGUCUUCGGGAAUUUUAGCAAACUUCGAUUCGACCGCUUUUUGUCACAUAUUGGGCGUUACCUCAGCCUUGCAGAAUAAAUUCAAUAAAUUUCGGGACUUCUUACAGAGCUCUUCGAUAUAUGCUUUAUAUAUAAUAUUAUGUGUAAUUCAAAUGCUUAAACGGAUUUUUCUCAAAACGUGGACCUGUACCAGGAGAAAACACAUUACGAAAAUGUCUUCAGUUUCCCUAUUUUUAGACGAGUGGUUAACAUUGCGUACUGACA